RNAcentral lists this ribosomal RNA (267 nucleotides) under uncultured bacterium. RNAcentral's name for it is "partial 16S ribosomal RNA". It matches the Rfam family "Bacterial small subunit ribosomal RNA", at positions 1234 to 1500 of the family's 1533-position model. The record is from RNAcentral.
CGGGUACAACGAGUCGCAAGACCGCGAGGUUUAGCAAAUCUCUUAAAGCCGUUCUCAGUUCGGAUUGUAGGCUGCAACUCGCCUACAUGAAGUCGGAAUCGCUAGUAAUCGCGGAUCAGCAUGCCGCGGUGAAUACGUUCCCGGGCCUUGUACACACCGCCCGUCACACCAUGAGAGUUUGUAACACCCAAAGCCGGUGGGGUAACCUUUUGGAGCCAGCCGUCUAAGGUGGGACAGAUGAUUGGGGUGAAGUCGUAACAAGGUACC